UCAUGAAUAAAUGUAAGCUUUGGUUUUUUCUCCUUCUCAAACAGUUCCAGAAAACACCAUAAUUAAUUUCCCAGGCGAUGUUUGUGAAGAAAAAGAAUGGUGAGUAGUGAUUAUGUAUUGCUUUUGUUGUUGUUGUUGUUGUUGAUAGUAGUAGCAGUAGCGGUAGUAGUAGUACUAGUAGUAGCAGCAGCAGAAGCAGUAUCAAUUUAUUAUUUGUUCUGACUGCUAGCUUGGUCAGAAGAAGUACAGAAGUGUGCAGGUAGAUCCAGAUCCAGAACUUAGACAUCACUGUCCGCUUCCAGCUCACUAGUUCAAUGUUUCAAUCACGGACAGUUAGGGAGGCCCUGACAGGUGGGAUGUUUGCAGCCAGCUGUUUCCGUGGGCUGACGCUUCACGGAUGCUCAGCCAAGCUGAAGGAUAUCUGGGAGAGCAUUAAACAAAGUGACAUGCAGAAUGACUGCAUUCGCUGUCGGAAAGGCACAUGCUGUUUGCUUCUCACGCACCCUUUGCAGAGCCAAGUGGGCAAAGGCCUGGAUUCAAUCGACGUUCGUCCUUAAGUUUGACUUAUAAACAAGAGCUUUCUGUCCCAAGUGCCCGUACAGAGACUGGGGGAAAAAAAGGCAUUUAUGUAUUCUGUACCUUCGGACUGGAAUAAGUUACAAAAUGACUUAAACCUUAAUGUUUUGAUUUUGUUGAAUGCUUUUAAAUCCACAAUGAAAGAACUGGAGGCGGAAUCGAUAGGAUGUCAGUGUUUAAACUGAAUUUUUGAUGCGUUGCUUUUAUUGCACAUUGUUGUUGAUUGUUUUGUAUUGUAGUGCUAAUUGUUUGUUGUACUGUUUUGUCUUAUUUGCAACAUUUUUGUGCUGCUGCCUGUCUUGAUCAGGGCUCCCUUGAAAAAGAGAUUUUUAAACUCAAUAGGACCUUCCCUGGUAAGAUAAAUAUUGAAAUAAAAAAUAAAAUAAAUAAAAGAGCGAUUGUUCAUUUUUAGCGAUCACCAAACUCGCCAAACUGUUAGUAAGGUACAAUUAAUUAUGCAUUUAAUCAAGUUAAGGAUGUAAUUGGUGAUUGAAUCCAGUGCAGUGGCAUUAAUCAGCUGAAGUCAAGUGCAAAUGAUUAAGCAGAUAUGAGCAAGGAGAGCUGUAUUUGUUUCUGAAUUUGUUUCUGAUUUGUGUUAAUUUCUGCUUUUAAUUAUUUAAUUGGCAAAAUCACUUGAAUGAUCUGGCAUUUUAGCUCCAUUUAUAUAGGCCUACAUAAGCUCGCAAACGACUGCUGAAGCCUAUUCUUGCUUCCCUAUGAAACGUUUUACUGUGGUUUUAUCUGGCAUAAGUGCAUGUAGCUAAUUGCCCUGUUUUUCCCAUAUUUCAGAAAUCAGUUUACCUAAUUGUGGUAUUGAUUGUGCAGUGUAGCAUGAUUGUUAUGUGCUGGUAAAAUAUGAACUCAAUUCUUCUUCUUCUUUUUGUUGCUGUAUAAGAAAGUGCAACCAUUCAUCUAGCCAAAGGUUGGGUUUUUUUAAAUAACUGAAAUAUUUUGUGUGGUUUUUACGACAUAUUUUCAUAGUUGAGGGCAUUUACAACAUGUUAUGCCCUACUAGUCUUAACCAUCUUUUUGUAGGCUACCGACACCGGCUCCUGGUUUUUGUCCAUGGCUUUAAAUUCGAGAUCCGCCUCUGGCGCAAGCUAUAUGGGUUCAUCGGUUGAUUAACGGGCACCAUGUUCGUUUUCUCAUAAAGCGGGGGUAUGGGGCGGGAGAUGGGAGAGCCGCUUGUGUCAUUCGUGGUCAGUUAACCAAUCAACGCAGAGCAUGUAAAAAAAAAAUUAUUUUUUAAAUGCGCAUGCCCACCCAAAACGGCCUGCUUUGAUCAAAGGCGACCGUCCCCAGCGGGGGUUCAGCGCCCUGAGUGUUAAGGGACCCACGCUUCCUGUCACUUUCUGCGGCCGUGAAGCCCCGCACUUCUCGAUUGAUUUGCGGUUGAGAAUGACAGUAUCGUUACAAAGCUUAUAUAAGCUUGUAUGAUUUUUUUUUCUUAAACCUUGUUCUGUUUGAAUACUAUUAUUUGUUUGUUUGUUUUUGCUCUGUCCCUUGUUGCAUUUUACUUGUACCGUUAUUAAAAAAAUAAAUAAAUAAAAAACAAAUGAUGAAGCUCAUAAAGAUUUUCUGCAAAUGUAAUGCCGACAGAUGUGUAAAAGUGCCUUUAGCACAAUAACCUUGACCUUGUAAUAAGAGUGGCCCAUUAGUGAAAUUCGCCUACAGGUAAAAGAUGACCCAUAGAAUGGUUUACAGUGUAACUGGGAAUAGAGUAGGCUCUGUGAAAGGGGGAGGGUUGGGGAUUUCUGGCCUUUCAAUAGUAUCCUGAAAGCAUUAUUACUGUGGCUGCAUAACGUGUCAUUUAUAUAAAGAAAUUGGGUGUUGGUAUAAAAUGAUCUUACUGGUAUUUAGCUUGUGCUAUUGAAUUUUUGAAAUAAAAUACCAUCAAAAACAAAGGCAGUGGACAACAGAUAUUAUGUGGCAACCAAACACUGAAAUCCCCUGCACAUUUUUGUCUGCCAUCGAGGCCCAAAACACGCAUGCACACCUUCAAUAAAUCCAGCCCCAAAUGUUUUUCUCAGUGUAGGAUAGCUACCAUUUCAUUGAUUUAUCAGUACAAGAAGGCAUAAACACAUUAAUGCCGCUCUGUAACACUGGCUACAGCUCCAACGCUUCCAUAUGGCAGCAGCCUGUCAUCAGUUGUAGUGAGCAGGUCAGAUGUGUUGCUCCCAACACAAAUAUAAAUAUGUAUAUGCUAUAGUGGAAGCUUAACUAGACUUAAGUAGAGUCUCUGAAGUGUGCUUGUUCACGAGCCAACCCUCCCAAUUUCUUACUUGCCUAAGUUAUAUCCUAAUCAUACUAGUUUUUGCAAUACUGGGGGAAAAAAAACUUACCGGGAAAGAUAUUUCUGUUCUUGUUUUUUUUCCCUACCCGAAACCUCAUCUCAUUCCAUUGCAUGUAUUCGCAUGUAGGCGGACACAGAGAUUGAUAAUUGUCAAUAGUACUUUUGAAACAAAGCACUAGUCUGGGGUACAAGGGAGUCCUUCUCGCGUCGCCUCCUCCCUUCUUCUCACUCCUCAAAACACCCCCUAAUUACAACGCUUUGAAUUGCGUCCGAACGGCUAGUCGCGAUGUGUGCGCUUGCCUCGAGCUCCGCGAGCGUGUGCCGGUUGGGCGUCGCCCGUUCGGCUCCGAUCGAGCGCGACGGCCUUCGCGCCAUCGUCGCAGGACCCAUCGGGCCUGUCCGCUCCCUCGUUGAUAGCGCUCGUCGUUUCCGAAGGAGCGGUUUUACGGAGGCCGCGUGGAGGCAGGAGGUGCAAUCGAUACACGAAACGUUAAACUAUUCUGUGUUACCUGUCCUCCCCGAUUCCACACGCCCUGCAAUUUACUACAGGAGAAAUGCCGGCCUGCAGGAGAACUCUGACUGGACCACAGGAGAAGCUGGUUUAUGUAUGUAACUUUAUCUUCCGAUCAGAUGAUAUUUGGGGGAAAAAUGGUGCAUGGUUGGCUAGUUUAAUCAAUAGGUGUUUUCUGCUGUGAAAACAGCAUACAAUACAGGAGAUUUUCUAUGAAGGUUGGGUUGUUGGGUUUGUAUUAAUAUUUAACUCUUCCAAGUCAAGUCUUCCAAGUCAAGUUCCAAGGUAAAGAUGCAUGUUGAUUGAAUCCAGGGCAUGGUCAAGGCUGAUUUAAUGCUACUAUCAUCAACGGUAAUGCUGUCAUCGUGGAGCACAUACAAUAAAAAAACUACCAAUAAAAACUGUUGUACAGUUAUUUCUGCUAAUGCAUAUGGCAGAUUUUAUACUAUAACCUGUGUAAUGCCUGGGUAUAUGUUUUAUUCUAAAUCUUUAUCUAAAAUUGGAACACUUCUACUUUUGGAGUGAUAAACUCCAUGAAGGAGUAGCUCCUCCUUAAGACGUGCUGCUGUAAACGUUUACAGUCAGUCAUGCAACUAGGCAUACCCAAUAGGCCACCAGAAUUUUGGCAGGUAAUUCAGUAUUAGCAGUUAGUUUGAUAUAAAUGAAUUCCACAUUACCAAAUAUUUGAGCGUGUCAAUGUAAUCACCGUGUCACUAAUCUCUUUCUGAUCAAACGGCACACGUAUCGUUUGGUGUUUUCUCUGACGGAGUUUCUGCGCUUUCUGGAGGCCCGGCCUGGGAAGCUUGCUAUUGUUUACCCGAUGUUGAGGGGGAUCCGCUGUAUGCAGAUGUGUCUCGUCUUCAGCUGGUUCAAAGGUGAAGCAGCAGCUUAUUGGCUCAGCAGGGUGAACGUCCGUGCCCCCUGGUCACUGGUCACAGCUCGUUCCCCUGCUGCUAUGGAUGGAAUACUGCUUUUAGGGGAGUUUGUCUCCUGACAUUUUUAAAAGGAAUCAUGCGGCUGUGGCUUUGUGUGGACGUUAGCUAUCUAGUACUAUAAUUUUAUUAUUGUUGAUUAUUUCCACAGCACUUCUGCAAUAACUGGAUGUUCUCUUUGGCUGUUAUUUCAACCUUGUCUAUGACUUCAUAUUUUCACCUCUGUCUUACUUUUUAGAAUGAUUUCAUCUUCCUCAGGAGAGUGCCCUGUAAUUUAUGUCACAGAAGCAGGGAAUUCUGGGAAGGGUGUUUUAUCCACAACGGUAUAUAAGACCUUAACGGACUGCAAAAGGUUUUCCAAUUCUGCCCUGUAGGUUUUUUUGAUUUUUAAUUUUUUUUUUUAUAGGAUAAGUAAUUUAUUUAUGAAGAAAACCUUAUCUUAAAUAUUCCGUUAAGUUAAAUAAACCUUUAAAUCAUGCAGAAUUAGCGAUACCUGUCAUUGACAUUCCAUUUUGGUCGGAGAAUAAAUCAAACAAACUAAACUAACGGACCGAAAAUAUGGGCUGCCCACGUCAUUGCCGUCCUGCGUGCUGGCUCUCUGUCAUUGAGUGGAAACGUGGGACUUAGCAGCGGCGCUUUCACAGUGGAAAGAAGGAAAGGGUGCGAGCCCCAUAAUAGAGCGCGCUAUAAUCUUCAUUUGCCGAGGCUGCUCUUUUUUGGGAGACAGGUAAUUUAUAAUUUAGGCGCCCAUUAAUUUUAACGAGUCCGCUAUCAUUCAUUUUAAGGCAUCCCACCUUUCUGUGACACGGAUAGUAUUUCUUCUUCGUUUUUCUCUCUUUUUUUCCCUCCCCGCGACAGGACCGGGAGCGUAGCCCUACUUUCUACUUUGUUUGUUCUCGCGCUCGUCUGCCUCUUUUAACGGUCAGUCCGUCUGCGUUUGGAGGAUUGGGAAUACGGAAUCAGAGCGCUGCGUGCAGCUCUGCAAGGACACUGGGCCUCAAGUUUCACUUUCACGAGACGGCUUUUGGAAAGUAAAACGUGAAAAACUA
This is a long non-coding RNA of Anguilla rostrata (American eel), 5361 nucleotides long. RefSeq lists it as uncharacterized. The transcript is spliced from 3 exons. The record is from RefSeq and is a predicted model, not a curated record. Lineage: Eukaryota; Metazoa; Chordata; Actinopteri; Anguilliformes; Anguillidae.